RNAcentral lists this transfer RNA (86 nucleotides) under Vicinamibacterales bacterium. RNAcentral describes it as "tRNA-Leu". It matches the Rfam family "tRNA". Rfam says of the family: Transfer RNA (tRNA) molecules are approximately 80 nucleotides in length. Their secondary structure includes four short double-helical elements and three loops (D, anti-codon, and T loops). Lineage: Bacteria; Pseudomonadati; Acidobacteriota; Vicinamibacteria; Vicinamibacterales. RNAcentral also lists the same sequence under 1 other name. The record is from RNAcentral.
GCGGAAGUGGCGGAACGGCAGACGCACCAGCUUGAGGGGCUGGCGGGGGCAACCCCGUGGAGGUUCAAAUCCUCUCUUCCGCACCA